RNAcentral lists this ribosomal RNA (343 nucleotides) under uncultured bacterium. Its description in RNAcentral is "bacterial SSU rRNA". It matches the Rfam family "Bacterial small subunit ribosomal RNA", at positions 137 to 507 of the family's 1533-position model. The record is from RNAcentral.
UGGGGGAAGUAACGGGUACGAAAGACUCGCUAAUACCGCAAUAUGAACGAAAGUUGAAAGGAGUAAUCCGUCUAAAGAUGAGCCCGCGUCCGAUUAGCUAGUUGGUAGAGUAAAAGCCUACCAAGGCGACGAUCGGUAGCUGGUCUGAGAGGAUGAUCAGCCACAAUGGGACUGAGACACGGCCCAUACUCCUACGGGAGGCAGCAGUGGGAAUUUUACGCAAUGGGCGAAAGCCUGACGUAGCGACACCGCGUGAGCGAAGAAGCCCCUUGGGGUGUAAAGCUCUGUCAGCUGGAACGAAAAAAUGACGGUACCAGCAGAGGAAGCAUCGGCUAACUACGUG